GAGAUGCAGAAUUUUUACAGCAAGACGACAGAAAGCAUAAAAAGAAGAUAAUAUUGUGAAGAGAAUAAAAUACAAAGGUAGGGGAUUCAAGAGGUGGGGUGAAGAGUGGGAGGGAGUGAGAGAGAGAGAGGGAGAUUGGAUGGCAUAGGAAGGGCUGAACCUGGAUAAAAGAAAUCUUUCAUUCAUUCAAAUAUUUCACAUGCAAUGCUUUAUAACAGGGAGCCAUUGGAGUAUAGGACCUUUUUUUUUCUUACAACUUGUUUUACAGCUAAGACUCUUGAUAACCUAAAAUACAAAAUUCUGAAACUCAUAAUACCUAUAUAGAAAGAUAUUUAAAACAAAAAAGAUAAUCAAACCCUAAAAAUUCUAUGACUUAGCCUGACAUCUACUUAAGGUAGGACUUUCCCCAACCAAUUCUAAUUAAAUCAAGGCCUUUUAUUGUAGAAUAAUUAAAUUAAGGCUUUAGAACCUAUUUUUGAAGUCACCUAAAUAAAUGUUUAAAAUAUCAUAGAUCUUUUUUUAUUUAUCAUCAUUCGCUUAUGCUACGUGGAUCUCAUCCUCAAGAUCUUUUUGAUAAUUUAUAUCAUCAUGCUCAAUUGUGAGAUCUCUAGGAUUUUUUGAAGAAAAGUAGUGUAUAGAUCUCUAGGAUUUUUUGAAGAAAAGUAGUGUAUAGUUUUCUAGUGAUUGAAAGAUCAGAUUAUGCAAUCAUGUGCCACUUAAUUAAUCUAUAGACCAAGGUUUGCCAUCUCGAUACCAGAUCCUACACUAGUACCACCCUAUAUAGGGCCCAGUUCGGAGUACCGAAUGUUGGUACACCUUCUGUACUGCAUACCAAUUUAGUACCAAUAUAAUACGAUACGAUCAGUACGCACUAGUACCGACUGGUACAACAAACCUUGCUACAAACAGAUGAUCAAAGGAUUCUUCAAUCUAGGAUCUAAUGGAUCUUGAAAAUCAUGCUGAAUCUCAAUUAUUGACUUCAUAGAAGUAAAAUGACUACAUCAUGUGUAUCUUCAACUAUUUCAAUCUUCCUUCAAACAAUGAUGGUCCAUGGACUGCAAGGUUCUACAUUGAGACAUUCCU
This 1083-nucleotide long non-coding RNA is filed under the name Phoenix dactylifera (date palm). RNAcentral's name for it is "long non-coding RNA (PDAC_LNC006402)". Lineage: Eukaryota; Viridiplantae; Streptophyta; Magnoliopsida; Arecales; Arecaceae. The record is from RNAcentral.